Molecule: unclassified non-coding RNA, 926 nt
Filed under: Hevea brasiliensis (rubber tree)
Lineage: Eukaryota; Viridiplantae; Streptophyta; Magnoliopsida; Malpighiales; Euphorbiaceae
Source: RNAcentral
CCAUAACAUCUUUCUUAUUCUUGUGCAUUUCUCUUCUUGCAGCAAUGAUGAAGAAAGCCUCGUCUUCUUUGAGCUUCUGAAGUUAUUGGGAUUCCCACAGGCCAAGGCUACUGAGACUUCAACUGACCCAGGAGACAAUGGUAGAUCUCAUGCCAUGGUGCAUUUUAAUGGUUGAAGCUCUAAGUUAGGCAGUUUCAGUUUCAAGGCAUUGCCAUGGAGAUGACAAGAUGAUUUAGAGCACUCAAUAGAUUUGAUAAUUUAUAAGGUUGUAGAUUUUGAGUUUUUGAUAGCUACUCACAUAUCAGGAAACCCUUUCUGUCUGCUUACUUCCACCUAUCAAUGCCAAACCAUGAUCCUUCUAGAGUUCAGAUGUAAUUUGAACCUUUGAAAUGGCAGGUUCACAUAUUAAACUCAGUGCCCCAUUCUGGGCGUCAACGUCAUACCCAUAUAAAAAUAUUUGCCCCUUCUCUUCGAGGUUGUCUUCCAGCCAUGGGGCAAACACUGACAUGUGGGGCAGCUAACACUAAUUUUUUUUCCCUUAAUCUGCAAAGAGAAUGGGAUUGAAGGGCAUUAACAGAAACAUUAAUGGUAAAUUUGAACAUAAUUGUAGUACUUAUCGAAGAGCCUUCAACGUGAAAUAACAGUUGGGUAAGUUGCAGUAACCAAGAGUUCUUCUCCACUCAAUUUGGCCAAACAAGGCAGUCAACACAACAGUCGAAUACUAAAUGGAAAUGGCGGCCCAUUGAUGAAAAUGGACUGUAGAUUUCAGUCACUUUCUGCACCGAUUUAUAGUGAGAACCACAGAACAGAAAGUGGUAUCCUGGUUUAAUCAAAUGUGUUGCUAACAAUUCAUUUAAACCCAUCUACGAUAAACCAUCGAGCCUGUUGCAGUGUAAAGCUGAACCUUUCUUUUUGCCACUUCGGCC